NNGCCGCCGGGCCAAGUCCAGUCCGCGUUUUGCGAGUGCGCGGGAGCGCUCGGCGUGGAGGGGGCGAUGGUUGCUGGAGCUCGCUCGCUCUCUCGCUCAUGCCAUGCUGGGCCAGAUAGGCUCAGUCAGACGUGUAUUUACCCAUAUCCGGGUUAGAGAGGAAAAGAAAAAAAAAAGUUUCAUUUAAACCUGAACAAAAAAACUUUCAACAUGAAAUCACACAGCAGGAACAGGCACAGACCGUAAGGCAUUCUUACCAUUUCUAAUCUCAAUCACGGACUCGGGGAGGGAAAUUUCUGUAAUUUUUGUGUGUGUGGAGUGAUCCGCAGGGGAUACUGUUGGCUCAGUUAAGUCUCUUUCCCCCAGCCGUUUCUCUUUUUGCCCCUCUCCUCUCCCUUCCUCCACCCCAUCCACUCCCCCCCCCCUUUUUUGAGGGUAGUUUUUUUUUUUUUUAAUUAUUAUUACUACUAAUUUCUCCGGACUUGCCAUGUUGCAAUGAUCAUGGCCGCGCAAAUCGCAGCGGCUCCGGCGGGUGCGAACAACAGCAAGGGCAAAGCCCCGAGCCUGCCGGGCAGCCUGGGCCCGGAGCGGGGCCCGGGGGGGGCCGCCGCCGCCGCGGGGGCUCCCGGGCCGGGCCCCAUGCUGGGGGUCGGAGACGGGACUCCCACCGGCGGCAGCAGCCUGAAUAAUGUAGAUCACCAUCUCCUCCACCACCACAGCGAGCCGCUGAACAUGGCCAAUAACGCAACUUCUGCCGCUGCCACCAGUAACAACAACAACAACGCCAGCGGCGGCGGCCGCUCCUCCUCGGAGCCGGCUCUGAAGGAAGGUGGAAGCUCCUCGGCGUUAUCUUCUUCUUCUUCGUCUUCUUCCUCCUCCUCCUCCUCCUCCUCCAACCCGGGCUCGGCCAUGGAGACGGGGCUGCUCCCCAACCACAAACUGAAAGGCGUCGGAGGCGAUCACCCCGCCGCGCCGCCCCACCACCACCAUGCCCACCACCCGCAUCACCAUGCCCACCACCACCAUGCCCACCACCCGCACCACCACCACCAUGCACUACAGCAGCAGCUAAAUCAAUUCCAGCCGCCGCCGCCGCCGCAGCAGCCGCCGCCUCAGCACCAUCCCAUGCAGAAUAACAACAGCAGCCUCGGCGGCGGCGGCGGCAGCAGCGGCGGCAGCAACAACAACGGCGGUGGCGGUGGCGGCGCUGCUCAGCCCAGUGCAGACAUGGAGCAGCAGCAACAUGGAGGAAAAGACAGUGUUUUGGGCACUAAGGCCGAGCCCCCGCAGCAGCCGCAGCAAAUGCUGAAUAAAGGCGCCGACGAGGAGGAGAUGCCCGGCAAAAUGGGCGAGCCCAUCGGCAGCCGCUACGAUCACGCCGGCUUGGGACCCCUAGGCGGACAGCAGCAGCCCCAGCAGCCACCCCAGAGCGCUGGGAGCGGCGGCGGCCUCGGCGGUGGCGGCGGCGGCGGGAGCGGGGGAGGCGGCGGCGGCCCCUCCGCGGUGGGUGUCUCGGAGUUCAAUAGCUAUUAUGGCAACGCUGCCCCCGCCGCUGCCGGCAGCGCCGCGGCGAGCCGCGCCGGGCCUUGCUUUGAUCAACAUGGCGGACAACAAAGCCCCGGGAUGGGGAUAAUGCACCCCACGGCGGCCCCCAACAGCAUGGACCCCCUGCAAAACUCCCACGAAGGUUACCCCAACAGCCAGUACAACCACUACCCGGGCUACGGCCGGGGCCCCGGCG
Apteryx owenii (little spotted kiwi) is the source of this 1741-nucleotide long non-coding RNA. NCBI's taxonomy places the organism in Eukaryota, Metazoa, Chordata, Aves, Apterygiformes, Apterygidae. The record is from Ensembl.